GAUCAACGCUGGCGGCGUGCCUAACGCAUGUAAGUCGAACGCAGUGUCUUCGGACAUUGAGUGGCGAACGGCUGAGGAACACGUACGAACCUGCCGGUCCGUGGGGAAUAACGCGCCGAAAGGCGUGCUAAUACCGCGUACGCUCACGCAAGUGAGGAAAGCCUUCGGGCGCGGACUGAGGGGCGUGCGGCCCAUCAGGUCGUUGGUGGGGUGAUGGCCUACCAAGCCGAUGACGGGUAGCUGGUCUGUGAGGACGAUCAGCCAGACUGGGACUGCGACACGGCCCAGACACCUACGGGUGGCAGCAGCGAGGAAUCUUCCACAAUGGACGCAAGUCCGAUGGAGCAACGCCGCGUGGAGGACGACGGCCUUCGGGUUGUAAACUCCUUUCGGAAGGGAUGAAACGGACAGUACCUUCAGAAGAAGCCCCGGCUAACUCUGUGCCAGCAGCCGCAGUAACAC
Molecule: ribosomal RNA, 462 nt
Filed under: uncultured bacterium
Lineage: Bacteria
Description: bacterial SSU rRNA
Rfam family: Bacterial small subunit ribosomal RNA
Source: RNAcentral